CCCGUCAGGUCCCGCCCCUCCGCUCUAGGCCCCACCCGGCCUCAUCCCUCCGGCCUUGGUCCCGUCCCGUCGAUCUCGCCCCUCCGUUCCGGGCCCCGCCCUGCCCGGCCCUGCCCGGCCCCGUUCUUCCGCUCUCGGCCCCGCCCUGCCAAGCCGAGCCCGCCCCUUAGCUCCCGGUCCCGCACCUCCGGUGGCGGCCCCGCAAAGCGCGCCUUGAAGGGCGAGGAUACCUUAGGGGUACCCCAGAGUUACCCCAGAGUUCCCUUAGGGUUACCCCAGGCUUCUCCCAGAGGGUAUUUCAGGGGCUCCCCUUUGCCCCGCGCUGUUGCGGCAGCGAGCGGGCUGAUCUCCGCAAGCCUGGGCCCUGCAGACAGCGCGGCGUGGUGAUACCUCAGCCUCUACAGCCACCACCUGCGCCUUUACGCUCGGCUGGUGCGCCGAGAGGUGUCCCUGCGGGGCCCGGGCACCUGAGUCAGGAGCUCUGUGCGGUUUAGCGGGCACUCUACUGAGGGCUAGGCGGCUUUAAAGGUUGCCGGGAGUAUCCCGGCCGAUGCCUCUGGGCUCCGCCGUUCUUGCCGUCACUGGAGCGCCGCUCCGCCGAGUUCCCUCAGCGUUCCCGCCCCGCUGCCUGAGGGCCGGCGCCCAGCUCCGGGCGGCCGGCUCCAUCCUGAUAGGCUGCGCUGCUGAAAAAAACAUGAUGUCAGCCAGAGUUUAAGUGCUAUAUAUAGUGUGUGGACAAGACUACAAACUCCGUGGAUUUGUCUUUGACCAAGAGAACACCUGGGACGGUUGCUCCAGGCCUCUCACGACCGAAGUCAUUAACUGCACCCCAGUGUAAAGGUCAGCCUUGCAGCUUUGGAAGCCCCCUUAUUCUUAACUCAGCUUGCUGGCCUGCAUUCAUAUACUGGACAGACUUGCACCUAGCAGAACCCUGGCUCUCCUGGUGUGCUGGCUGUUUCCUCUGAAUUGGAUGUGUUCGAGAAAAGAAGAUGAUUCAACAUAGGAAUGGGAAAUACAAGAAGCUUCAACAGUUAUGGAAGUCAUAGGAACAAAACCAACAGAGCAGGACUGCUUGUGCUUGAACCCAGAGCAGCUGCAAAACCCACAGAUGUGCUGGGUCUGAACAAAGAAUGCAUUUAGAAACCAUGGAGGAGUCAUGUUAGGAGCUGCUGAGAAAAGGUGAAGAAAUGGAAAUGGGUUGUCUGUGAAAGGAUUUUCGAGAUGAGAUGAAAAAGGGUAGGAAAAUUAAUUCCUUAUCGAAAUGAAAGGGCAGAAGAGAAAAGAUGGGGGGCAAUGGUGGAAUUUAUUUUGGCUGGCAAGGAAACUGACAAGUGUGUGAGAUAACAUUGUACAAGAUUUCAAUUAAUCUUAGCUUCACAUUACGAAUUUUGUAAUCGGGUCUAAAGUGCCUUACACUGAAACACUUGCAGGUCAAUGCCUUUGCCAGCAAGCUCUUUGCUCCCUGUAAAGCAGAACAAUAAAAACUUAUCAAAUCUUGCUGAUAUAAUAAAAUCAAUAAUUUAAAAAAGCAUCACAGCAAUGGUCAGAAAAUAAAGAAAAUUCAAAUUUAAUAAUGCAGUACUUUUAUCAGAUAAAAUUUGAUUGUGUGCAACAGAUAAAGCACUGGCCCACAUCACCUGAAUGUCGUGAAAUGAUUUUAGUGAAGUCCUUUAUCAAUUUAGGUGUGUUGUGCACUGCACAAUUGGAGACUCUCAGAAAAGUGACAGGUUGUGUGUCAUUUUCUCAUAACACCUAUACAGACCUGUCUCAAAUUGAUAUCAGGGAACCAAUCUUAAAUAUUUUGUUUCAGAUAGGUAAGGAAGUACUUUUUUUUUUUAAAAAAAAUAUAUUUAAGUCAAAGUGAAUACAUAUUUUGGUAGAAAGCUAUGGGGCAGGAACUUCACCUAUUGUGUCAGAAUAGAGAUACGAAACCAAAGCAGGUUCCUGUGCAGUCGACUGGCAAACCUUACGUGACUGAUUGGCUACUGCCACCAGGCGGCUUUUUACAGUCAUUGACUGAAAACUGUAA
Molecule: non-coding RNA, 2029 nt
Organism: Cyanistes caeruleus (blue tit)
Lineage: Eukaryota; Metazoa; Chordata; Aves; Passeriformes; Paridae
Source: RefSeq, a predicted model, not a curated record